RNAcentral lists this ribosomal RNA (377 nucleotides) under uncultured bacterium. RNAcentral's name for it is "bacterial SSU rRNA". It matches the Rfam family "Bacterial small subunit ribosomal RNA", at positions 523 to 898 of the family's 1533-position model. The record is from RNAcentral.
ACACGUAGGGGGCGAGCGUUGUCCGGAAUUACUGGGCGUAAAGGGCGCGUAGGCGGUCUAAUAAGUCAGAUGUGAAAAUCCUGGGCUUAACCCAGGGCUUGCAUUUGAAACUGUUGGGCUUGAGGACAGGAGAGGAAAGCGGAAUUCCCAGUGUAGCGGUGAAAUGCGUAGAUAUUGGGAGGAACACCAGUGGCGAAGGCGGCUUUCUGGACUGCACCUGACGCUGAGGCGCGAAAGCCAGGGGAGCAAACGGGAUUAGAUACCCCGGUAGUCCUGGCCGUAAACGAUGGAUACUAGGUGUGGGAGGUAUCGACCCCUUCCGUGCCGCAGUUAACACAAUAAGUAUCCCGCCUGGGGAGUACGGCCGCAAGGCUGAA